RNAcentral lists this long non-coding RNA (3455 nucleotides) under Nicotiana benthamiana. Its description in RNAcentral is "long non-coding RNA (NBEN_LNC032336)". The record is from RNAcentral. Lineage: Eukaryota; Viridiplantae; Streptophyta; Magnoliopsida; Solanales; Solanaceae.
AAGUGAAAAAAAGGCAGAAAAAAGAAUCAAAAAAUACAGGACUAAACUUACAGAAAAAUACCAGAGUUCUGACGCUCCAUUGAGUUUCAGUAACUUCUGAUUCCUUUGAGCUCUGAAAGUAAUAGUGUUCAGUAGUUAGGAUUCGAGUUGGUUUGAUAUUAUUUUUUGGAGAUUUUUGUUUUUGAUCACUGUGUUGAAACUACUGUUCCAUUGGGUUUUCAAGUGGAGCUCAUGGCUUUAAUUGCUGAAUUUGGGUUAUUUUGUGGGCGGGAAGUGGCUGUAUAGUUCAUUUUACUGUUUAAAAAAGCUGGAUUUCUUAUUGGAAAUUUCUACUAGUUUCACUGGCAUUUCUGAAUCUAUUUCCUCAAGUUUUGGUUGAAUCUGGGAUUGUUCUUUGCUGCUGAGUGCUCACUUCUAUUUCUUUUCCAAUCUCCAGGUACACUGUCAAAACCUGCCAUGGAACUGAGUAUUGACUAACAUAUAGGAAGAGUUGAAUGUUCUAGUUGAGAUGUGAAUAAGACAUUUUAAAAUCUUGAUGUAGUUAGUGUCAGCUAUUGCCAUUAUGUCUAAUUAGGUGCUUCAUUUCAUUUAGUUUGAUUUCUGGUAUGUGCUGAAUGAUUUAGUUGCUAGAUUUAAUGCAUAAUCUCAGAAUAUUGGAUAUUGUAGUGUUGUUUGAAUUCUGCUCGCAUGACUGGACUGUUAAUAUCGCUGUAGUAGAGGUUUAUCUAAAGCUGUGUAUGAUAUAGUCAUGUUUGAGGUCUGGUAUGAAUAAGGAGUGUUCAGUCUUGUUAAAAGAGGCUUAGUAUAAGGUGCAUUCUGCUUGGGUUCACAUGUUUCUAACAUUAACAAGUUAUUCAGGGCUCCAGUUCUUUUGAAAUGAUUUCUACCAAAAUUUAUCAAAUCAGUGUUAAAAAGAGUCUGGCAUGAGGGUUAUUUAGUUCUGGGCUAUCACUUAUGCUCAUUAGAUCAUUUCAUUUCGAAAUAAUCAAUGUUGAAAACAAGUGGGCAUUCAUGAUCGUUUUGGACUGAAUAUGGACCAUUUUGCAUGUUUGAAAUCAAUUUGGGAGCAUUUGAUCAAAUUGUUUGUCUAUUAUUCUAGGAUAGAAUAAAUGCAAAUCUGGAAUCCGAAUGGCAAUCUAUGCAUAUGUUUAGAGCUCAGGCUCAAAAUAGGCUUUCUUCAUGAUAGUUCACUUGAGAUGUGUCCACUUCUCUCCCUCUUCUUCUUGUUUUCACGUUAAUUUCGAAUGUGGGCAGGAUGGGUGUGAUUUCGUAUUUUGGGCUUGGCCUUCGUUAGGCCCAGAUUUGAAGCUAUCGAAAUUAAGUGUGGAGUCAUAUAAUCCUUCAACGCAAGGCCUUCUAAGUAAAUAAUGUAUUUCGAAUUUCCUCAAAAAUAGGAGUUCAAUAAGUUAAUGAAUUGGUUUUCUGUGUCACUAAGGGUGCGCUACGUUUAACAACACGAAGUAGGCUUGGCCAUCUGAGCCAUAGUUUUAAAUAAACUUUUAAAUAGAAUCGAAGGGGUGCUCAAACAAAAAAUAAGGGUUGGGUAAAUUUUGUUUUAAUUAGUUUUAACUUAACAUUAGAACUUGAGGCUGCCAUUUAGAAAAUUCUAUGGUCCUCGCAAAUCUAAAAACCCGUGACUGCUUUAAGCGCGUUAGUUAACAAUUAACUUCUCUAAAUUUGGGUGCACAUUUACGAGACCCAAAUCCAUAAUUAAACGGUGUUAGAAUAUGUCGAAGACCGCGGGUGCAUUUAUGUGACGUGGUUCAAGAUGUGUUUUAAUAACGUUGGAAAUUCCUAAAACAACUAAAAGCGGUUAGAAAGGUUAACAAUUGAGCAUAUGUUCAAAAUGAAUUAAAAUUAGAUAAGUACGCCGAAUGUAACAGUUAAGCAACCGUGCUAGAACCACGGAACUCGGGAAUGCCUAACACCUUCUCCCGGGUUAACAGAAUUCCUCACCUGGAUUUCUAGCUCGCUGGCUGUAUUAUAGAUUCAAACCUUCAUCGAUUCGAGAUUUUAAACUGGUGACUUGAGACACCAUAAAUUAUCCCAAGUGGAGACUUUGAAAUUUUUUAAUAAUAUAAUCCUAUUUCGAUCGUCCUUUAAUUGAAAAUGCUCCCUUAUCUACGCCCUUCGCGGGGUGUAGUGUAAAAAAGGAGGUGUGACAGCUCUGGCGACUCUGCUGAAAAUAGAACCAGAAUCUGUAGUUUUGGGUUCAGAAUUCAAACUUAGAAUAAUUAUUGUAUUUGGUUUUGUUAAUAUCAUUACAUGUUUGGGCCUAAUGUGCUAAUUUUUGCUUUUACCACUUUGAUAUUAGUUGAACUCUAUACAAAUUGCUGCGAAACCUUUCUCUUCUCAUCUCCGGGGAUGUGCUCACUAGUCUAGACUCUCUAUUCUAUUAGUGUUAUACCUUGGAAUAAGAAAGAGGCUUGGACAAGUCACGAAGCCAGAUGGACUUUUGGUUCCUGGUACGUAGCCCCCUCCUCGACUCGAGUUUUCCGUUAGGAUACACAGUCUAGAACAUGUACCCAGGUUUUGAACGUAGAAUAACUUAACCUCAUCCCUAGUAUAAACUCUUAUUUGCAUCAUGCAUUUGACUUAGGGGACUCAAAGCAGGGGUUGGGUCCGUUUAGGAAAGGUGCACGUAAAAUAAUAGACCAUCUUGAUGCAUCUUGCGUGCUACUUGUGCAUUUAUUCCAAAUUUACUUGUCGAUCGGCUUUAAAAAAAAGGAGAAUAUGACCAAUAAAAUAACAGUGUGAGGGAUGAGGAAAUUAAUUACCUGUUUCAAAUACUGAUACUGAAAUUCUACAAAAAUUUUGAAAAGAACAAAGAAAGGAUUCAGUUUUAAAAUAAAGAGAAAAAAAUAAGCUGGUUUUUAAUUCUGUCAGAAUUGCUCGAACUACACUGGUUUGAUUCUCACAGGACAUGAGAUACGUAGGCAACCCCGAUGGGGUCCAACUUCAUUCUUGCAAAAAUAGCCUUAGAAGAACCAAGUUUUGUUUGUGAUAAAUAAAUAAGGCAAUUCUUGUCAAAUUAGCCGAGUGUCCCCAAAAGGGCGCCGGAAGGCGGCUUUUUCAAAAACAACCACCCUGGAUUCUUUUUCAAAUUUUGGUAGGUAGUAAGCACAACCUUAAACUCUUCCCUGGGAAGUGCUGAAAGGUUUUAUUUGCAAAGCCGGACUCAUACUCUUAAAAUGAAAAUCUAUCAACCUUGAUUUAAGUCAAAUAAAUCAUGAUUUUUGCUUAAUCACCCUAAUAAAUGUGCAGAAUGAUCACGAAUCAAAAGUUUCGAAUACAGUCAUAAACAAGAUCCCUUUGGAGUUGCACAUUUAGUGGAAUGAUCUAGGUGAAUCAGGAUAAAACAAGGUCAAUGCGCACUUGGGAGGACUCAUCGGGUGUUUGAAAAUUAAUCCUAGAGGGGAUAUCAUAAAGGCGUUGGUUACAUUCUGGGACCUGAC